AACACGUGAGUAACCUGCCCCUGACUCUGGGAUAAGCCUGGGAAACCGGGUCUAAUACCGGAUACGACCAUUUCUCGCAUGUGAUGGUGGUGGAAAGUUUUUUCGGUUGGGGAUGGGCUCGCGGCCUAUCAGCUUGUUGGUGGGGUGAUGGCCUACCAAGGCGACGACUUGUAGCCGGCCUGAGAGGGCGACCGGCCACACUGGGACUGAGACACGGCCCAGACUCCUACGGGAGGCAGCAGUGGGGAAUAUUGCGCAAUGGGCGGAAGCCUGACGCAGCGACGCCGCGUGGGGGAUGACGGCCUUCGGGUUGCAAACUUGUUUCAGCAGGGAUCAAGUUGACGUGUNCUUGUAGAAGAAGCGCCGGCUCACUNCANNCNNCAGCCGCGGUAAUACGUAGGCAGCAAGCGUNGUC
Molecule: ribosomal RNA, 415 nt
Filed under: Microbispora sp.
Lineage: Bacteria; Bacillati; Actinomycetota; Actinomycetes; Streptosporangiales; Streptosporangiaceae
Description: bacterial SSU rRNA
Rfam family: Bacterial small subunit ribosomal RNA
Source: RNAcentral